AGUGAACGCUGGCGGUAGGCCUAACACAUGCAAGUCGAACGGCAGCACAGUAAGAGCUUGCUCUUACGGGUGGCGAGUGGCGGACGGGUGAGGAAUACAUCGGAAUCUACUUUUUCGUGGGGGAUAACGUAGGGAAACUUACGCUAAUACCGCAUACGACCUACGGGUGAAAGCAGGGGAUCUUCUGACCUUGCGCGAUUGAAUGAGCCGAUGUCGGAUUAGCUAGUUGGCGGGGUAAAGGCCCACCAAGGCGACGAUCCGUAGCUGGUCUGAGAGGAUGGUCAGCCACACUGGAACUGAGACACGGUCCAGACUCCUACGGGAGGCAGCAGUGGGGAAUAUUGGACAAUGGGCGCAAGCCUGAUCCAGCCAUACCGCGUGGGUGAAGAAGGCCUUCGGGUUGUAAAGCCCUAUUGUUGGGAAAGAACAGCAGCAGGUUAAUACCACGCUGUUCUGACGGUAACCAAAGAAUAAGCACCGGCUAACUUCGUG
RNAcentral lists this ribosomal RNA (492 nucleotides) under uncultured bacterium. Its description in RNAcentral is "partial 16S ribosomal RNA". It matches the Rfam family "Bacterial small subunit ribosomal RNA", at positions 29 to 507 of the family's 1533-position model. The record is from RNAcentral.